This 1479-nucleotide ribosomal RNA is filed under the name Escherichia coli. Its description in RNAcentral is "partial 23S ribosomal RNA". It matches the Rfam family "Bacterial large subunit ribosomal RNA", at positions 405 to 1869 of the family's 2925-position model. The record is from RNAcentral. Lineage: Bacteria; Pseudomonadati; Pseudomonadota; Gammaproteobacteria; Enterobacterales; Enterobacteriaceae.
UCGAUGAGUAGGGCGGGACACGUGGUAUCCUGUCUGAAUAUGGGGGGACCAUCCUCCAAGGCUAAAUACUCCUGACUGACCGAUAGUGAACCAGUACCGUGAGGGAAAGGCGAAAAGAACCCCGGCGAGGGGAGUGAAAAAGAACCUGAAACCGUGUACGUACAAGCAGUGGGAGCACGCUUAGGCGUGUGACUGCGUACCUUUUGUAUAAUGGGUCAGCGACUUAUAUUCUGUAGCAAGGUUAACCGAAUAGGGGAGCCGAAGGGAAACCGAGUCUUAACUGGGCGUUAAGUUGCAGGGUAUAGACCCGAAACCCGGUGAUCUAGCCAUGGGCAGGUUGAAGGUUGGGUAACACUAACUGGAGGACCGAACCGACUAAUGUUGAAAAAUUAGCGGAUGACUUGUGGCUGGGGGUGAAAGGCCAAUCAAACCGGGAGAUAGCUGGUUCUCCCCGAAAGCUAUUUAGGUAGCGCCUCGUGAAUUCAUCUCCGGGGGUAGAGCACUGUUUCGGCAAGGGGGUCAUCCCGACUUACCAACCCGAUGCAAACUGCGAAUACCGGAGAAUGUUAUCACGGGAGACACACGGCGGGUGCUAACGUCCGUCGUGAAGAGGGAAACAACCCAGACCGCCAGCUAAGGUCCCAAAGUCAUGGUUAAGUGGGAAACGAUGUGGGAAGGCCCAGACAGCCAGGAUGUUGGCUUAGAAGCAGCCAUCAUUUAAAGAAAGCGUAAUAGCUCACUGGUCGAGUCGGCCUGCGCGGAAGAUGUAACGGGGCUAAACCAUGCACCGAAGCUGCGGCAGCGACGCUUAUGCGUUGUUGGGUAGGGGAGCGUUCUGUAAGCCUGUGAAGGUGUACUGUGAGGUAUGCUGGAGGUAUCAGAAGUGCGAAUGCUGACAUAAGUAACGAUAAAGCGGGUGAAAAGCCCGCUCGCCGGAAGACCAAGGGUUCCUGUCCAACGUUAAUCGGGGCAGGGUGAGUCGACCCCUAAGGCGAGGCCGAAAGGCGUAGUCGAUGGGAAACAGGUUAAUAUUCCUGUACUUGGUGUUACUGCGAAGGGGGGACGGAGAAGGCUAUGUUGGCCGGGCGACGGUUGUCCCGGUUUAAGCGUGUAGGCUGGUUUUCCAGGCAAAUCCGGAAAAUCAAGGCUGAGGCGUGAUGACGAGGCACUACGGUGCUGAAGCAACAAAUGCCCUGCUUCCAGGAAAAGCCUCUAAGCAUCAGGUAACAUCAAAUCGUACCCCAAACCGACACAGGUGGUCAGGUAGAGAAUACCAAGGCGCUUGAGAGAACUCGGGUGAAGGAACUAGGCAAAAUGGUGCCGUAACUUCGGGAGAAGGCACGCUGAUAUGUAGGUGAAGUCCCUCGCGGAUGGAGCUGAAAUCAGUCGAAGAUACCAGCUGGCUGCAACUGUUUAUUAAAAACACAGCACUGUGCAAACACGAAAGUGGACGUAUACGGUGUGACGCCUGCCCGGUGC